AGUGAACGCUGGCGGUAGGCCUAACACAUGCAAGUCGAACGGCAGCACAGUAAGAGCUUGCUCUUACGGGUGGCGAGUGGCGGACGGGUGAGGAAUACAUCGGAAUCUACUUUUUCGUGGGGGAUAACGUAGGGAAACUUACGCUAAUACCGCAUACGACCUACGGGUGAAAGCAGGGGAUCUUCGGACCUUGCGCGAUUGAAUGAGCCGAUGUCGGAUUAGCUAGUUGUCGGGGUAAAGGCCCACCAAGGCGACGAUCCGUAGCUGGUCUGAGAGGAUGAUCAGACACACUGGAACUGAGACACGGUCCAGACUCCUACGGGAGGCAGCAGUGGGGAAUAUUGGACGAUGGGCGCAAGCCUGAUACAGCAAUACCGCGUGGGUGAAGAAGGACUUAGGGUUGUAAAGCCCUUUUGUUGGGAAAGAAAAGCAGCAGGUUAAUACCCCGCUGUUCUGACGGUACCCAAAGAAUAAGCACCGGCUAACUUCGUG
This 492-nucleotide ribosomal RNA is filed under the name uncultured bacterium. RNAcentral's name for it is "partial 16S ribosomal RNA". It matches the Rfam family "Bacterial small subunit ribosomal RNA", at positions 29 to 507 of the family's 1533-position model. The record is from RNAcentral.